GGAACAUGUGGUUAAUCGAUGAUACGCGAGGAACCUUACCUGGGCUUAAAUGUAGAGUGCAUUUUUAGAGAUAGAAAUCCUUCGGGGCUUUCUGCAAGGUGCUGCAUGGUUGUCGUCAGCUCGUGCCGUGAGGUGUCGGGUUAAGUCCCAUAACGAGCGCAACCCUUAUCGUUAGUUGCCAGCUGGUAAAGCAGGGGACUCUAGCGAAACUGCCACCGUAAGGUGAGAGGAAGGUGGGAUGACGUCAAAUCAGCACGGCCCUUAUGUCCAGGGCUACACACGUGUUACAAUGGCCGGCACAGAGGGCAGCUACCUGGUGACAGGAUGCUAAUCUCGAAAACCGGUCUCAGUUCGGAUCGAAGUCUGCAACUCGACUUCGUGAAGCUGGAUUCGCUAGUAAUCGCGCAUCAGCCAUGGCGCGGUGAAUACGUUCCCGGGCCUU
This 442-nucleotide ribosomal RNA is filed under the name uncultured Sphingobacteriales bacterium. RNAcentral's name for it is "bacterial SSU rRNA". It matches the Rfam family "Bacterial small subunit ribosomal RNA", at positions 934 to 1382 of the family's 1533-position model. Lineage: Bacteria; Pseudomonadati; Bacteroidota; Sphingobacteriia; Sphingobacteriales. The record is from RNAcentral.